CCUACGGGUGGCAGCAGUGAGGAAUAUUGGUCAAUGGGCGUACGCCUGAACCAGCCAAGUCGCGUGAGGGAAGACUGCCCUAUGGGUUGUAAACCUCUUUUGUCAGGGAGCAACGCCGGCUACGUGUAGCCGGACUGAGAGUACCUGAAGAAAAAGCAUCGGCUAACUCCGUGCCAGCAGCCGCGGUAAUACGGAGGAUGCGAGCUUUAUCCGGAUUUAUUGGGUUUAAAGGGUGCGUAGGCGGAAUGCCAAGUCAGCGGUAAAAUCGCGGGGCUCAACCUCGCUCCGCCGUUGAAACUGGCGUGCUUGAGUGGGCGAGAAGUAGGCGGAAUGCGUGGUGUAGCGGUGAAAUGCAUAGAUAUCACGCAGAACUCCGAUUGCGAAGGCAGCAUACCGGCGCCCAACUGACGCUGAAGCACGAAAGCGUGGGUAUCGAACAGGAUUAGAUACCCGAGUAGUC
This 460-nucleotide ribosomal RNA is filed under the name uncultured bacterium. RNAcentral describes it as "partial 16S ribosomal RNA". It matches the Rfam family "Bacterial small subunit ribosomal RNA", at positions 338 to 795 of the family's 1533-position model. The record is from RNAcentral.